CAGGGAUUGUAUAUGCUCAACAGACGUUGGUGGAAUGAACGCACACCCCCCUCAUCCAAAAAUCUGGUAGAACUGCACUCACUUUGUGAGUGUGCCGGGAAGAAAAGUUACGUUCCUGAAGCAUCAUUACCAGUGACUGGAGUCAGAUUUGAAAAAUGGAUCCUGGCGGCAAACCACCCUUCCCAGCCGUCUGACCACACCAACCAGCCAAUCAGGUUCCACAGGAUGCAAUGAAGAAACAGGUACUAAAUUGGCAGAAGUCACAUGCAUAUAAACCUG
This is a long non-coding RNA of Phyllostomus discolor (pale spear-nosed bat), 279 nucleotides long. RefSeq lists it as uncharacterized. NCBI's taxonomy places the organism in Eukaryota, Metazoa, Chordata, Mammalia, Chiroptera, Phyllostomidae. The transcript is spliced from 3 exons. The record is from RefSeq and is a predicted model, not a curated record.